CUACGGAGGGUGCAAGCGUUAUUCGGAAUCACUGGGCGUAAAGGACGCGUAGGCGGGUUGGCAAGUCAGAUGUGAAAUCCUACAGCUUAACUGUAGAACUGCAUUUGAAACUGCUAACCUAGAGUAUGGGAGGGGGAGAUGGAAUUAGUGGUGUAGGGGUAAAAUCAGUAGAUAUCACUAGGAAUACCGAAAGCGAAGGCGAUCUCCUGGAACAUAACUGACGCUAAGGCGUGAAAGCGUGGGGAGCAAACAGGAUUAGAUACCCUAGUAGUCC
Molecule: ribosomal RNA, 274 nt
Filed under: uncultured bacterium
Lineage: Bacteria
Description: partial 16S ribosomal RNA
Rfam family: Bacterial small subunit ribosomal RNA
Source: RNAcentral